Non-coding RNA from Vicia faba (fava bean), 352 nucleotides. The record is from the annotation of a GenBank genome assembly. NCBI's taxonomy places the organism in Eukaryota, Viridiplantae, Streptophyta, Magnoliopsida, Fabales, Fabaceae.
GUGCUACAUAGGAUAUAAGUCCCUAAUAAUAGAAACACACAAAAGCUUCAACACUGGAAGAAACACAAACUUCAACAACAGCAUGUACAAGAUCAAAAGUCGACUUCAAGAAAGAUUCGCUCUUAGUAUUGAAAACAAAAAUAAUUUAAAAAAGAUCACCGAAUCAAAAGGCUGGGCUGCUGCAUGCUUCGAAGGUUAUUAUUUUGAGAAACCAAGCUGCAGAAAAAAAUGCUCAAAACUCAAUUUGCAUGUCUUCCAAUAUAAGCCAGGAAAAAGAAAAGAAAAAGAAUCAUUGAAGAAAUCUGAUGUAUCUAUCUGGAGCUAUUCUCUGUUCUUGUGUGUCGUAUCAUGA